UGAGCCGGCCGGGUGGCCGCGGCACGACGACGAUCGUGUCGAGGAAGGUCGGGGCUCCGCAGGGCAGGGUGCUGGCUAGCGGCCAGUCGGGGUGACCCGCAGGAAAGUGCCACAGAGAGCAGACCGCCGAUGGCAGCCGGGAGACCGGCGGGCACAGGCAAGGGUGAAACGGUGCGGUAAGAGCGCACCAGCGCCCGGGGCGACCCGGGCGGCUCGGCAAACCCCACCCGGAGCAAGGCCAAGCGUGGGACGGGUGGCCCGCCCGACGUCCCCAGG
RNAcentral lists this RNase P RNA (276 nucleotides) under Actinomycetota bacterium. Its description in RNAcentral is "partial RNase P RNA component class A". It matches the Rfam family "Bacterial RNase P class A", at positions 1 to 271 of the family's 367-position model. Rfam says of the family: Ribonuclease P (RNase P) is a ubiquitous endoribonuclease, found in archaea, bacteria and eukarya as well as chloroplasts and mitochondria. Its best characterised activity is the generation of mature 5'-ends of tRNAs by cleaving the 5'-leader elements of precursor-tRNAs. Cellular RNase Ps are ribonucleoproteins. Lineage: Bacteria; Bacillati; Actinomycetota. The record is from RNAcentral.